Molecule: ribosomal RNA, 171 nt
Filed under: Myctophum aurolaternatum (golden lanternfish)
Lineage: Eukaryota; Metazoa; Chordata; Actinopteri; Myctophiformes; Myctophidae
Description: partial small subunit ribosomal RNA
Source: RNAcentral
CACCGCGGCCAUACGAGUGUAGCCCUAGUGGACAGUCAACGGCGUAAAGAGUGGUUAGGGGACCAUAAAACUAAAGAGGAACCACCUCCGAGCUGUUAUACGCAUCCGACAGUGUGAAGCCCUACCACGAAAGUGACUUUAACCUAACCUGAACCCACGAGAGCUGAGAAA